Molecule: ribosomal RNA, 434 nt
Filed under: uncultured Pseudobutyrivibrio sp.
Lineage: Bacteria; Bacillati; Bacillota; Clostridia; Lachnospirales; Lachnospiraceae
Description: partial 16S ribosomal RNA
Rfam family: Bacterial small subunit ribosomal RNA
Source: RNAcentral
ACGGGAGGCAGCAGUGGGGAAUAUUGCACAAUGGGCGAAAGCCUGAUGCAGCGACGCCGCGUGAGCGAAGAAGUAUUUCGGUAUGUAAAGCUCUAUCAGCAGGGAAGAUAAUGACGGUACCUGACUAAGAAGCACCGGCUAAAUACGUGCCAGCAGCCGCGGUAAUACGUAUGGUGCAAGCGUUAUCCGGAUUUACUGGGUGUAAAGGGAGUGUAGGCGGUCUUGCAAGUCUGAUGUGAAAACCCGGGGCUCAACUUCGGGAUUGCAUUGGAAACUGUAAGACUAGAGUGUCGGAGGGGUAAGUGGAAUUCCUAGUGUAGCGGUGAAAUGCGUAGAUAUUAGGAGGAACACCAGUGGCGAAGGCGGCUUACUGGACGAUUACUGACGCUGAGGCUCGAAAGCGUGGGGAGCAAACAGGAUUAGAUACCCUGGUA